Molecule: long non-coding RNA, 563 nt
Organism: Nymphaea colorata (pocket water lily)
Lineage: Eukaryota; Viridiplantae; Streptophyta; Magnoliopsida; Nymphaeales; Nymphaeaceae
Exons: 3
Source: RefSeq, a predicted model, not a curated record
CCUACCCCAGGCGGAGGAAAAAAAAAAUUUAAUUAUAAAAAUUUAAAAAUUUUAUUAAUUCUAUGUAGUAUUCAGAUGCGGGUUCAAAUUGGCCCUACCCCUACUCGGAUCCAACUCCAACUCCAUGGCCCGCCCCACUUUUGUUUGCCCUAGGUUUUCAAAAAAGAAAAAACGCAUGAGGGAGAGAAAACGAGAGAUAAAGAAAGAAGAAGAGGGUCUGCGAGUGAUAAAGAAAACCAGUGAGAGAAAAAGGGAGCACCGACUACCGCACUGAAGAAGGUCUGCAGCGUGAAAAGGAGGAGACAAGAGGUGCUGAGCACGAGCACGCUGGUCGCUGCUGCUUGCUGGCUUCAAGAAGAGACUUUACUUCACUUGUGGUAAUUCGAAAAGCAAGUUAGCGAGGGGAGAAAACAACUCUUCAUUGUUCUACAUAGUGCAAGAGGUUCAACAGAUUUUUUGUGUUAGCUUAUUGAGAAAAUGAAGAAAAGCAUACAAGAUUAUUUCAAAAAGAAACAAGUUAUUGAUCAAGUGAGAGAAAACCAAGAGGGAGAAGACCAGGAGGG